RNAcentral lists this ribosomal RNA (500 nucleotides) under uncultured bacterium. RNAcentral describes it as "partial 16S ribosomal RNA". It matches the Rfam family "Bacterial small subunit ribosomal RNA", at positions 28 to 507 of the family's 1533-position model. The record is from RNAcentral.
GACGAACGCUGGCGGCGUGCCUAAUACAUGCAAGUCGAGCGGACGUAAAGGAGUGCUUGCACUACUGAGAGGUAGCGGCGGGCGGGUGACCAACACGUAGGCAACCUGCCCUCAAGUCUGGGAUAACUACCGGAAACGGUAGCUCAUACCGGAUGAUUUAUUACAUAGCAUUAUGUGAUAAUGAAAGACGGAGCAAUCUGUUACUUGGGGAUGGGCCUGCGGCGCAUUAGCUAGUUGGUGGGGUAACGGCCCACCAAGGCGACGAUGCGUAGCCGACCUGAGAGGGUGAACGGCCACACUGGGACUGAGACACGGCCCAGACUCCUACGGGAGGCAGCAGUAGGGAAUCUUGCGCAAUGGGCGAAAGCCUGACGGAGCAACGCCGCGUGAGUGAAGAAGGUUUUCGGAUCGUAAAGCACUGUUGCCAAGGAAGAACGUCACUUAGAGUAACUCCUAUGAGAGUGACGGUACUUGCGAAGAAAGCCCCGGCUAACUUCGUG